GGUGUUUGUAGUGUAAUGGCUAACAUACCGAACUGUGAAUUCGGAGACUAGGGUUCGAAUCCCCACUAACACCC
Molecule: transfer RNA, 74 nt
Filed under: Richelia sp. RM2_1_2
Lineage: Bacteria; Bacillati; Cyanobacteriota; Cyanophyceae; Nostocales; Nostocaceae
Description: tRNA-His
Rfam family: tRNA
About the family: Transfer RNA (tRNA) molecules are approximately 80 nucleotides in length.
Source: RNAcentral